GUUCUCCCUGACUCCUUGAGAGUCCUGAAGGAACGUUGAAGACGACGACGUUGAUAGGCCGGGUGUGUAAGCGCAGCGAUGCGUUGAGCUAACCGGUACUAAUGAACCGUGAGGCUUAACCUUACAACGCCGAAGCUGUU
This 140-nucleotide ribosomal RNA is filed under the name Escherichia coli. RNAcentral describes it as "partial 23S ribosomal RNA". The stretch from base 1 to 123 matches the Rfam family "Bacterial large subunit ribosomal RNA", at positions 2808 to 2925 of the family's 2925-position model. The record is from RNAcentral. Lineage: Bacteria; Pseudomonadati; Pseudomonadota; Gammaproteobacteria; Enterobacterales; Enterobacteriaceae.